AUUGAACGCUGGCGGCAUGCCUUACACAUGCAAGUCGAACGGUAACGCGGGGCAACCUGGCGACGAGUGGCGAACGGGUGAGUAACGCAUCGGAACGUGCCCAGUAGUGGGGGAUAGCCCGGCGAAAGCCGGAUUAAUACCGCAUACGACCUACGGGUGAAAGAGGGGGAUCGCAAGACCUCUCGCUAUUGGAGCGGCCGAUGUCAGAUUAGGUAGUUGGUGGGGUAAAGGCCUACCAAGCCUACGAUCUGUAGCUGGUCUGAGAGGACGACCAGCCACACUGGGACUGAGACACGGCCCAGACUCCUACGGGAGGCAGCAGUGGGGAAUUUUGGACAAUGGGCGCAAGCCUGAUCCAGCCAUGCCGCGUGCGGGAAGAAGGCCUUCGGGUUGUAAACCGCUUUUGUCAGGGAAGAAACGCUCUGGACUAAUAAUCUGGGGUAAUGACGGUACCUGAAGAAUAAGCACCGGCUAACUCCGUGCCAGCAGCCGCAGUAA
RNAcentral lists this ribosomal RNA (498 nucleotides) under uncultured bacterium. RNAcentral describes it as "partial 16S ribosomal RNA". It matches the Rfam family "Bacterial small subunit ribosomal RNA", at positions 29 to 523 of the family's 1533-position model. The record is from RNAcentral.